This 19-nucleotide non-coding RNA is filed under the name Arabidopsis thaliana (thale cress). The record is from RNAcentral. RNAcentral also lists the same sequence under 1 other name. Lineage: Eukaryota; Viridiplantae; Streptophyta; Magnoliopsida; Brassicales; Brassicaceae.
CCAGCUCCAAUAGCGUAUA